This 325-nucleotide ribosomal RNA is filed under the name uncultured eukaryote. RNAcentral's name for it is "partial 18S ribosomal RNA". It matches the Rfam family "Eukaryotic small subunit ribosomal RNA", at positions 1470 to 1796 of the family's 1831-position model. The record is from RNAcentral.
CCCUUAGACGUUCUGGGCCGCACGCGCGCUACACUGACCAGUGCAACAAGCAUCCGUCCUUGGCCGACAGGCCCGGGCAAUCUUUGAACGCUGGUCGUGAUGGGGAUAGACUUUUGCAAUUUUUGGUCUUCAACGAGGAAUUCCUAGUAAACGCAAGUCAUCAACUUGCAUUGAUUACGUCCCUGCCCUUUGUACACACCGCCCGUCGCACCUACCGAUUGAGUGAUCCGGUGAAUAAUUCGGACUGCAGCACUGCUUGGUCUCCAGGCUUUGCAGCGGAAAGUUUAGUGAACCUUAUCACUUAGAGGAAGGAGAAGUCGUANCA